Molecule: ribosomal RNA, 172 nt
Filed under: uncultured bacterium
Lineage: Bacteria
Description: partial 16S ribosomal RNA
Rfam family: Bacterial small subunit ribosomal RNA
Source: RNAcentral
ACUCCUACGGGAGGCAGCAGUGGGGAAUCUUAGACAAUGGGGGAAACCCUGAUCUAGCCAUGCCGCGUGAUCGAUGAAGGCCUUAGGGUUGUAAAGCUCUUUCAGUGGGGAAGAUAAUGACGGUACCCACAGAAGAAGCCCCGGCUAACUCCGUGCCAGCAGCCGCGGUAAU